GCAUAUCAAUAAGCGGAGGAAAAGAAACUAACCAGGAUUCCCCUAGUAACGGCGAGUGAAGCGGGACCUGUGGCUCAAGACAAGAAUCCCGCAAGGGAGUUGUGGUCUAUGGACUAUUUGCUUGCUUCUUUACACGCGGCCAAGUCCCUUGGAAUAGGGCGCCAUAGAGAGUGACAGCCUCGUAGCUGCCGCGUUUUUUGUAGAGUUGCUUUAUGCUUGUAGCUCCGAGAGUCGGGUUGUUUGGGAAUGCAGCCCUAAGCGGGAGGUACGCACCUUCUAAAGCUAAAUAUUCUGGCAAGAGACCGAUAGCGAACAAGUACCGUGAGGGAAAGUUGAAAAGCACUCUGGAGAGAGAGUGAAAAGCACGUGAAACCAUUGGUAGGGAAGCGGAGUGUUCGGGGGACUUUGCUUUCGGGCAAGCUCAGGACCAAGCCAGAUUGAGGGAAAAUGUUGGCCGGAAGGUGGCUCUCCUUUACGGGAGAGUGUUACAGCCGGCCAGCAGCACCUCGGACUGGCUUGAGGACCGCGUCUUUAUUGACUAGGGCCCUGAGACCCCUCGCCGCUCCGACCCGUCUUGAAACACGGACC
Molecule: ribosomal RNA, 588 nt
Filed under: Coemansia interrupta
Lineage: Eukaryota; Fungi; Kickxellomycota; Kickxellomycetes; Kickxellales; Kickxellaceae
Description: LSU rRNA
Rfam family: Eukaryotic large subunit ribosomal RNA
Source: RNAcentral